CAAUAGCGUAUAUUAACGUUGUUGCAGUUAAAAAGCUCGUAGUUGGAUUUCUGGAGGGAGCGUCGGCCCGUAUUUACGAGUGCGUGACGUCUCUGUCCAUCCUUGCGGGAAGGCACGGCAUUGAUUUGUUGUGUCGGAUCGCAUCAUUUACUGUGAAAAAAUUAGAGUGUUCAAAGCAGGCUUUCGCUUGAAUACAUUAGCAUGGAAUAAUAAGAUAGGGCCUUGGUACUAUUUUGUUGGUUUGCGAAUUGAGGUAAUGAUUAACAGGGAUAGUCGGGGGUAUUCGUAUUCCAUUGUCAGAGGUGAAAUUCUUGGAUUUUUGGAAGACGAACUACUGCGAAAGCAUUUACCAAGGAUGUUUUCAUUAA
RNAcentral lists this ribosomal RNA (368 nucleotides) under uncultured eukaryote. RNAcentral describes it as "partial 18S ribosomal RNA". It matches the Rfam family "Eukaryotic small subunit ribosomal RNA", at positions 592 to 976 of the family's 1831-position model. The record is from RNAcentral.